RNAcentral lists this ribosomal RNA (422 nucleotides) under uncultured bacterium. RNAcentral's name for it is "bacterial SSU rRNA". It matches the Rfam family "Bacterial small subunit ribosomal RNA", at positions 355 to 774 of the family's 1533-position model. The record is from RNAcentral.
UGAGGAAUAUUGGGCAAUGCCCGCAAGGGUGACCCAGCAACGCCGCGUGGAGGAUGAAUGUCGUAAGAUUGUAAACUCCUGUUAGAGGGGAAGAAUAGUACCGGUUGGACCGGUAUAUGACUGUACCCUCAGAGAAAGCCCCGGCUAACUACGUGCCAGCAGCCGCGGUAAUACGUAGGGGGCAAGCGUUGUCCGGACUUACUGGGUGUAAAGGGCGCGCAGGCGGGAUAAAAAGUCAGUGGUGAAAUCCUACAGCUUAACUGUAGAACUGCCUUUGAUACUUUUAUUCUUGAGUUCGGGAGAGAGAGACGGAAUUCCAGGUGUAGUGGUGAAAUACGUAGAUAUCUGGAAGAACACCAGUUGCGAAGGCGGUCUCUUGGUCCGACACUGACGCUGAGGCGCGAAAGCGUGGGGAGCAAACA